Molecule: long non-coding RNA, 354 nt
Organism: Mauremys reevesii (Reeves's turtle)
Lineage: Eukaryota; Metazoa; Chordata; Testudines; Geoemydidae
Exons: 3
Source: RefSeq, a predicted model, not a curated record
GUGGAACAUGGAUGCAGUCUACUGGUUACACCGUAGAGGCAGCAAAGAAACAGAAAUAUCCAAGCUGUUUGGCUGGGACGCUCUACCAGGAAAUGGGAUUGAACUUCAACAGCACAAACCAUCACAAUUGGAAAUGGAUGGGCUGAAACUAAAUAGCUUCUUCUCUCUUCUCCAAAAGAACAGUUAUUACCAUCUUUAAUACCAUAUUGACAGCUCUGGAGAAUGAAGUCCUCUAUUCACAGAACAGACAGAGUAAGGACAACAGCAGUACAAGUUUCCCCUGGUGGGAUAUCAACGCUCUCACCUGAACCUGGAGUGACAACUUCCCUUCAGUAUAGAACUUUAAAAUGAGCA